This 440-nucleotide ribosomal RNA is filed under the name uncultured bacterium. Its description in RNAcentral is "bacterial SSU rRNA". It matches the Rfam family "Bacterial small subunit ribosomal RNA", at positions 338 to 794 of the family's 1533-position model. The record is from RNAcentral.
CCUACGGGGGGCAGCAGUGAGGAAUAUUGCACAAUGGACGAAAGUCUGAUGCAGCAACGCCGCGUGGAGGAAGAAGGUCUUUGGAUUGUAAACUCCUUUUCUCAGGGAAGAGAUAGGACGGUACCUGAGGAAUAAGUCACGGCUAACUACGUGCCAGCAGCCGCGGUAAUACGUAGGUGGCAAGCGUUAUCCGGAAUUACUGGGCGUAAAGCGCACGCAGGCGGCGCAUCAAGUUCGACGUGAAAGCUCCCGGCUCAACUGGGAGAGGUCGUUGAAAACUGAUGUGCUUGAGGCAAGGAGAGGGGUGUAGAAUUCCCGGUGUAGUGGUGGAAUGCGUAGAUAUCGGGAGGAAUACCAGUGGCGAAAGCGGCACCCUAGCCUUAGCCUGACGCUCAGGUGCGAAAGCGUGGGGAGCGAACGGGAUUAGAUACCCUAGUAGU